Molecule: ribosomal RNA, 376 nt
Filed under: uncultured Gammaproteobacteria bacterium
Lineage: Bacteria; Pseudomonadati; Pseudomonadota; Gammaproteobacteria
Description: bacterial SSU rRNA
Rfam family: Bacterial small subunit ribosomal RNA
Source: RNAcentral
UAAUACGGAGGGUGCAAGCGUUAAUCGGAAUUACUGGGCGUAAAGCGCACGCAGGCGGUCUGUCAAGUCGGAUGUGAAAUCCCCGGGCUCAACCUGGGAACUGCAUUCGAAACUGGCAGGCUAGAGUCUUGUAGAGGGGGGUAGAAUUCCAGGUGUAGUGGUGAAAUGCGUAGAGAUCUGGAGGAACACCGGUGGCGAAGGCGGCCCCCUGGACAAAGACUGACGCUCAGGUGCGAAAGCGUGGGGAGCAAACAGGAUUAGAUACCCUGGUAGUCCACGCCGUAAACGAUGUCGACUUGGAGGUUGUGCCCUUGAGGCGUGGCUUCCGGAGCUAACGCGUUAAGUCGACCGCCUGGGGAGUACGGCCGCAAGGUUA